CUACGGGUUGCAGCAGUGGGGAAUAUUGGACAAUGGGCGAAAGCCUGAUCCAGCAAUGCCGCGUGAGUGAUGAAGGCCUUAGAGUUGUAAAGCUCUUUUACCCGGGAUGAUAAUGACAGUACCGGGAGAAUAAGCUCCGGCGUAACUCCGUGCCAGCAGCCGCGGUAAUACGGAGGGAGCUAGCGUUGUUCGGAAUUACUGGGCGUAAAGCGCGCGUAGGCGGCUACUCAAGUCAGAGGUGAAAGCCCGGGGCUCAACCCCGGAACUGCCUUUGAAACUAGGUAGCUAGAAUCUUGGAGAGGUCAGUGGAAUUCCGAGUGUAGAGGUGAAAUUCGUAGAUAUUCGGAAGAACACCAGUGGCGAAGGCGACUGACUGGACAAGUAUUGACGCUGAGGUGCGAAAGCGUGGGGAGCAACAGGAUUAGAUACCCUCGUAGUC
Molecule: ribosomal RNA, 439 nt
Filed under: uncultured bacterium
Lineage: Bacteria
Description: partial 16S ribosomal RNA
Rfam family: Bacterial small subunit ribosomal RNA
Source: RNAcentral